UCGAAGAAAAACUUAGCUUUUACAUUGAAUGACUAUUAUAUAAAGAUGUUAUAAAGAGGUCUAACUGUAGUAGAACCUAUGCAACGCGAAUUAGAUUUAAUUGGAUUUGGUUUCAGAUAACAAGUGGCUAAAGAAAAAUACAAUACAAUACGGUACAAUAUUAUACGGUCGAAAAACUACGAGACAAGAGGUACAUGUUGACCCAAGACUUAUUGCAAGUUGCAACAAUAGGAACUACUAACAAAACAAAACACAAACUAAGAGAAAUUAACUAGAGGAAAGUGAAUAGAAUUAUAUUAGGCUAUUCAUAACUUUCCCUUUAUUCUCAAAACUAAACUCACACCAGCACAAGUACAUAGUCUCUGAGGCCUAAUUUUGGUCAUGACAUUUAGGACAUUUACUGCAAAUCUGAUUCUUACAUGAGCAAAUUUUACAAAAUUUGCCGACGAUUAUUUGGGCAUGACAUUUAGGACAUUUGCUGCAAAUCUGAUAUUUACAUGAGCAAAUUUUACAAGCUUUGCCGGCGAUUUUGCGGAUGAUUCCGGCACCCGUCUUCUGAUCAGUAAUGUUGUUUGAAUUC
This 580-nucleotide long non-coding RNA is filed under the name Nicotiana tabacum (common tobacco). Its description in RNAcentral is "long non-coding RNA (NTAB_LNC001711)". Lineage: Eukaryota; Viridiplantae; Streptophyta; Magnoliopsida; Solanales; Solanaceae. The record is from RNAcentral.